RNAcentral lists this transfer RNA (73 nucleotides) under Phytohabitans maris. Its description in RNAcentral is "tRNA-Val". It matches the Rfam family "tRNA". Rfam says of the family: Transfer RNA (tRNA) molecules are approximately 80 nucleotides in length. Their secondary structure includes four short double-helical elements and three loops (D, anti-codon, and T loops). The record is from RNAcentral. Lineage: Bacteria; Bacillati; Actinomycetota; Actinomycetes; Micromonosporales; Micromonosporaceae.
GUCCCGAUGGUCCAGCUGGCAGGGCGCCGCCUCGACACGGCGGAGAUCGGCGGUUCGAUUCCGUCUCGGGGCA